AACUCUGUGCAAUGGAGCACACGGCUCGUGUAUCGAUGAAGCCCGCGGCAAAAAGCGAUAUGUAAUGAGAUUCGUUAGC
This 79-nucleotide ribosomal RNA is filed under the name Naegleria fowleri. RNAcentral describes it as "partial 5.8S ribosomal RNA". It matches the Rfam family "5.8S ribosomal RNA", at positions 1 to 78 of the family's 154-position model. From Rfam's summary of the family: 5.8S ribosomal RNA (5.8S rRNA) is a component of the large subunit of the eukaryotic ribosome. It is transcribed by RNA polymerase I as part of the 45S precursor that also contains 18S and 28S rRNA. Lineage: Eukaryota; Heterolobosea; Eutetramitea; Acrasida; Naegleriidae. The record is from RNAcentral.